UGUCAUAUGGGAUUGUUGACAUGAACCUCGCAGGAAGUAAAAAGAGCAUGAACCCAUUUUCUAUUCAUUCACUGCAUAGAAAUAGCCUGGCUCCAGAUCUGUUUUGUGUUGCACACCCGUAACAAACUUGCAUGUCAACUCAACAAUGUUUGGCAAUGCAUCACAAUGACCAUAUUAUCUGGGACCAGACUAGAACAUAAAUAAUCUCCACAGAAAUGAAACUCUAAACAAAAGAACCAAUUCAAUGAGAUGUCCAACUCUAAACACACACCAACCUCACCUCAGUCUAGACUGGUUAUGGAAGAGAGUUUGGGUUCUGUGAACUCACUAGUAAACCCUGUCAUCAGUGACAACCUUUAUGUCACUGUGUGCAGUUUGUUAGUCGAGCGGUAUGCCAUUACGUAACUAAACUGCAUUGUUGAGCCGGGCAGUGUUCAUUUGAACAUGUUUUAGGACCAAGGUUUUGGCACUGAACACUACCAGUCAUUGGUCAGCUAGUAGAGUCAUGUCAUUCCACUCGGAUUCACAAAAAUUUAACAAAGACAGGACAGCUCAGAGGAGACAAUUCUUUGUAGUGUUAUGUACAUAAAAAAACACAUGCAGUAUGUGGGCCACAUGGGAAUAAAACACACCAUAACCCUGGUGUUGCCAACAUCAUACUCCAACUAACCGAGCCAUUCUACCCAUGUCAGCACAAGCUAACCAUUUGCCUUUACGAAAACCUUGAUGAUAAACCUCAAAUCCAGAUCCCAUCACGAGAUAAUGUAUUAUAGUAUGUACAGUACUCCAACCUAGCUAUUGUAUGUGCACUUUAUGUCCCUAGAGUGUUGUUUUGAAGUGGACACACCCCAACCAUGGGUGUGUGUGUGAAUAAGUUAUCCAUUACUCCUGGUGACGCACUAUACCACUGUUCUGAUUGGGCCAGUGGGCUCUGACAUGGUCACACAAAAGCGCACCGUAUAGUAUUGCAUAACAUACACAUCCCUUGUAUUAUCGUGUCAGUUUCCUGCACACGUAGAGAGAACACCUGCAUUUCAAUAUGCUGAGAGGUAUUUGCUUUUGUGGCCUAAUGCAGCUUUGUCAUUAUAUGGUGUAGGCCUACAUUCGAAGAGGGUUCUCAAAAAGAAAAUGGACUAUGCAGUCAAGAUCAUCGACAUCAAUCCUUCUGACAAGAUCUCGGCUGCAGAGAUCGAGGAGAUCAAAGUGGCCACAGAGAAGGAGAUUGAUAUUCUCAAAAGAAGUCUAUGGAAUGGACAACAUCAGACCUGAGCCCUAGGACCAUGCCCCAGGACUACCUGACAUGAUGACUCCUUGCUGUCCCCAGUCCACCUGGCCGUGCUGCUGCUCCAGUUUCAACUGUUCUGCCUUAUUAUUAUUCAACCUUGCUGGUCAUUUAUGAACAUUUGAACAUCUUGGCCAUGUUCUGUUAUAAUCUCCACCCGGCACAGCCAGAAGAGGACUGGCCACCCCACAUAGCCUGGUUCCUCUCUAGGUUUCUUCCUAGGUUUUGGCCUUUCUAGGGAGUUUUUCCUAGCCACCGUGCUUCUACACCUGCAUUGCUUGCUGUUUGGGGUUUUAGGCUGGGUUUCUGUACAGCACUUUGAGAUAUCAGCUGAUGUACGAAGGGCUAUAUAAAUAAAAUUGAUUUGAUUUGUUUACUUUCUGUAUUGAAUACAGAUUGCCCCAUCUUCAAUUUGAUCGAUUAUUAACGUUUAAAAAUACCUAAAGUUGUAUUACAAAAGUAGUUUGAAAUAUUUUGGCAAAGUUUAUAGGCAACUUUUGAAAUGUUUUAUAGUGAUGUUCUGUUUUUGUAAGCUGUUUUUUUCUGGAUCAAACGUGCUUUAUAAAUGGACAUUUUGGGUAUAUAUGGACGGAAUUAAUCGAGAAAAAAAGGACAAAUUGUGAUGUUUAUGGGACAUAUUGAGGUGCCAACAAAAGAAGCUCGUCAAAGGUAAUGCAUGUUUUAUAUUUUAUUUCAGCGUUUUGUGUAGCGCCUGCAGGUUUGAAAUAUGCUACCCUCUUUAUUGACAGUGCUAUCAUCAGAUAAUAGCUUCUUAAUGCUUUCGCCGCAAAGCUUUUUAAAAUCCGACACGUUGGCUGGAUUCACAACGAGUGUAGCUUUAAUUGAGUAUCUUACAUGUGUGAUUUAAUGAAUGUUUGAUUUUAUAUCAUUUUUUUUAUUUGCCGCGCUGCAUUUUCCUUGUUUUUUCCCCCCAAGUGAGACGCAAGCGUCCCCUAUACCAUAAGUUAAAUUCACCUAUAUUUAAACAAAACUGACUUUAUAAACAUUUUAUCAACAGGUGCCAUCAGGUUCUUUAGAACGGUAGGGCUAAAAAAGUCAAUAGUAUCAUAUGAAACGUUACUACGGUAUUCUAAAAUGUUGGUAUCAUAAGCAUCAUGACGUUUUGGUACUGGUAGACAGUGCAACAGCACCUGACUCAAGUAAAUCAGCUAAAAUGAAUAUCAUGAUGAUGAUGAUCAUGAUGAUGGUGAUCAUGAUGGGGAAGAAGUGUGACAUCACUCCGUCCCCCACGGACUGGAGUUACCCAUCCCUGCUCUAAGUAUUUGAAAGAUUUCAAAUCGUUUGAACACAGAUCUGGACAAGUGCUUGCUUGACAAGCAAUAAAGUAAUGUAAGCCAGAUUAAUGAACUCUCCAACCCACCACUCACAACAAACAGUCAAACACACACUCCUACCUCUGUGAGGAGAUCAGCCAGCUCAGCAUGGACCUUGGUUCUGAGGGAGGUGCGGGCCACGUGGAUGAGGGUCUCUCUGUCCAUCUCUCUGGUCACCUUCAUCUCCUCCAGCACCUCCAGAGCCUUAUCCUUGG
Oncorhynchus nerka (sockeye salmon) is the source of this 2831-nucleotide long non-coding RNA. RefSeq lists it as uncharacterized. The record is from RefSeq and is a predicted model, not a curated record. The transcript has 3 exons. NCBI's taxonomy places the organism in Eukaryota, Metazoa, Chordata, Actinopteri, Salmoniformes, Salmonidae.